RNAcentral lists this ribosomal RNA (370 nucleotides) under uncultured organism. RNAcentral's name for it is "bacterial SSU rRNA". It matches the Rfam family "Bacterial small subunit ribosomal RNA", at positions 526 to 896 of the family's 1533-position model. The record is from RNAcentral.
CGUAGGGUGCGAGCGUUAAUCGGAAUUACUGGGCGUAAAGCGUGCGCAGGCGGUUAUAUAAGACAGAUGUGAAAUCCCCGGGCUCAACCUGGGAACUGCAUUUGUGACUGUAUAGCUAGAGUACGGCAGAGGGGGAUGGAAUUCCGCGUGUAGCAGUGAAAUGCGUAGAUAUGCGGAGGAACACCGAUGGCGAAGGCAAUCCCCUGGGCCUGUACUGACGCUCAUGCACGAAAGCGUGGGGAGCAAACAGGAUUAGAUACCCUGGUAGUCCACGCCCUAAACGAUGUCAACUGGUUGUUGGGUCUUCACUGACUCAGUAACGAAGCUAACGCGUGAAGUUGACCGCCUGGGGAGAACGGCCGCAAGGUUG